GUACCGCCUGCCCUGUGACCAUGGUUUAACGGCCGCGGUAUUUUGACCGUGCAAAGGUAGCGCAAUCACUUGUCUUUUAAAUGAAGACCUGUAUGAAUGGCAUGACGAGGGCUUAACUGUCUCCUUUCUCCAGUCAAUGAAAUUGAUCUCCCGUGCGAAGGCGGGAUAACCCAUAAGACGAGAAGACCCUAUGGAGCUUUAGACGCAAGAAUAGACCAUGUUAAGCACUCCCAAAUAAAUGAUAAAACUGAUUGGACCCUAUUUUAAUGUCUUUGGUUGGGGCGACCGCGGGGAAAUCAAAAACCCCCACGUGGACCGAGAACACAGUAUUCUCACAAACAAGAGCCACAGCUCUAAGCAACAGAAUUUCUGACCAUCAAGAUCCGGCACAAGCCGAUCAACGGACCGAGUUACCCUAGGGAUAACAGCGCAAUCCCCUUUUAGAGCCCAUAUCGACAAGGGGGUUUACGACCUCGAUGUUGGAUCAGGACAUCCUAAUGGUGCAGCCGCUAUUAAGGG
RNAcentral lists this ribosomal RNA (519 nucleotides) under Oxylapia polli. Its description in RNAcentral is "partial 16S ribosomal RNA". It matches the Rfam family "Bacterial large subunit ribosomal RNA", at positions 1852 to 2571 of the family's 2925-position model. Lineage: Eukaryota; Metazoa; Chordata; Actinopteri; Cichliformes; Cichlidae. The record is from RNAcentral.